UACGGGAGGGUAAAAUAAUGUCCCUCUGUACGGGAGGGUAAAAUAAUGUCCCUCUAUACGGGAGGGUAAAAUAAUGUCCCUCUAUACGGGAGGGUAAAAUAAUAUCCCUCUAUACGGGAGGGUAAAAUAAUAUCCCUCUAUAAGGGAGGGUAAAAUAAUGUCCCUCUAUACGGGAGGGUAAAAUAAUAUCCCUCUAUAAGGGAGGGUAAAAUAAUGUCCCUCUAUACGGGAGGGUAAAAUAAUGUCCCUCUAUACGGGAGGGUAAAAUAAUGUCCCUCUAUACGGGAGGGUAAAAUAAUAUCCUCUAUACGGGAGGGUAAAAUAAUAUCCCUCUAUACAGGAGGGUAAAAUAAUGUCCCUCUAUACGGGAGGGUAAAAUAAUAUCCCUCUAUACGGGAGGGUAAAAUAAUGUCCCUCUGUACGGGAGGGUAAAAUAAUGUCCCUCUAUACGGGAGGGUAAAAUAAUGUCCCUCUAUAUGGGAGGGUAACAUAAUGUCCCUCUAUACGGGAGGGUAAAAUAAUGUCCCUCUAUACGGGAGGGUAAAAUAAUGUCCCUCUAUACGGGAGGGUAAAAUAAUGUCCCUCUGUACGGGAGGGUAAAAUAAUAUCCCUCUAUACGGGAGGGUAAAAUAAUGUCCCUCUAUACGGGAGGGUAAAAUAAUAUCCCUCUAUACGGGAGGGUAAAAUAAUGCAUUAGUCAUACUAAUUCAAUCUAAUCAAGCAAACAAAUAUAUAAAUAAACAUUUAAAAAAGGGAUUAACAAUUGUUACAUAUAAACUUGACUGUUACACUUCAGAAUGGUAAGUAGUUAUACAGCAUUUCCCAUAACUUUGUCUCUAAGAAGUGCUAGUUUACGGUAACAACUAAGCUAAAAACUAUGGAUUUGAACCACAGUUGAGCGUAGAUACUCUGAAUGAUAGAAACCACAGCUGGGGGCAACCCCACAGCUAGCAGCUUACCAGCACAGUAUUAUAUUAUAAUUUUACUAUACAGUUAUGUCCUAUGUAUGCAUUAAUGCAUCAUUCAUGUUGUUAAGAAUGCAUUCAUUAGAAUAUAUAACACUAUACAAGAAGCAGCUUCAAGUAAGUGUUACGAUAUUAUAUCAUGUCAUAUUAUACUGUUCUAUAUUACAGUGUAUUUCAUGUUAUAUUUGAUUAUAUUUACACUUAGUUUCAUCUUAUAUAUUAUAUAUUUUCAACUGGCUUCAUGCCGUUGCUGACCAGUCCUGGUCCUGCUUGUUCACCAGAGCAGUUUUCUUCAUCCACUGACCAACAGGGUUGUUCUCCAACCUUAGACACAGAACACAGUAAGACAGGCUGGUUCAGGAAACAUGGUUAAAAACAUGGUUAUUAUACAAUCCUGUACCUUCAAUUCAAAUACAGUGGAGAAAAAACUCAGAACAGUGUUACUUUAGCAAUAGUUACAAUAUCACCUGUCAGACAUGGGAGGUCCUCCAUUCGUCUGAGGAG
Oncorhynchus tshawytscha (Chinook salmon) is the source of this 1469-nucleotide long non-coding RNA. NCBI's taxonomy places the organism in Eukaryota, Metazoa, Chordata, Actinopteri, Salmoniformes, Salmonidae. The record is from Ensembl.